Molecule: small nuclear RNA, 21 nt
Filed under: Arabidopsis thaliana (thale cress)
Lineage: Eukaryota; Viridiplantae; Streptophyta; Magnoliopsida; Brassicales; Brassicaceae
Description: snRNA_01881
Source: RNAcentral
AGGAGGCAGCAAUUCACUCGA